RNAcentral lists this ribosomal RNA (253 nucleotides) under uncultured bacterium. Its description in RNAcentral is "partial 16S ribosomal RNA". It matches the Rfam family "Bacterial small subunit ribosomal RNA", at positions 524 to 776 of the family's 1533-position model. The record is from RNAcentral.
UACGUAGGGUGCAAGCGUUGUCCGGAAUUAUUGGGCGUAAAGAGCUCGUAGGCGGUUUGUCGCGUCUGCUGUGAAAACCCGGGGCUCAACCCCGGGCCUGCAUUCGAUACGGGCAGACUAGAGUUCGGUAGGGGAGUCUGGAAUUCCUGGUGUAGCGGUGAAAUGCGCAGAUAUCAGGAGGAACACCGGUGGCGAAGGCGGGACUCUGGGCCGAUACUGACGCUGAGGAGCGAAAGCGUGGGGAGCGAGCAGG